Molecule: long non-coding RNA, 255 nt
Organism: Dermochelys coriacea (leatherback sea turtle)
Lineage: Eukaryota; Metazoa; Chordata; Testudines; Dermochelyidae
Exons: 3
Source: RefSeq, a predicted model, not a curated record
CAAGGUUUAAAAGCCAGCAUGUUUAAUGAUUAAUUUGCCCUGGCAUUCGCAGCUCUCCUGGAUAUACUCCCAAAGCCUUUGCAAAAGGUUUCUGGGGAGGGCAGCCUUAUUCCAUCCACUGUGGCAGGACACUUUACUGCACCAGGCCAGUAGCACAUAGUCGGGAAUCAUUGCAGAACAAAGCAUUGCAGUGUAUGUUUGCUGGCGUUCAAACAACAUCCAUUCUUUAUCUGUGUUAUCCUCAGGAGAGUGAUA